GAAAAGGUGUCUUCUCUCUCCCCUAAGCACUCCCCCUGCGCGAAAGCUCACCUCUGUAAUUUUUCUGCGCUCCAUCUCUCUGAUCUCCAUCUCUCUGCGUGCUAUCUCCUCUCGCCCUCUCUGCGCUCCAUCUCCUCUCGCCCUCACUGCGCUCCAUCUCUCUAGCAAGGCAAGCUCUUAAUCUCCCUCCCAUUCAACAAAUUGUUUUUUUGCUCUCUCUCUCUAGCAAUCAGCCUUUGCCCCUUGGAUUGAACUAUUGGAAUAUCAUGAUUAUCCUACCAUAUCCAAUAUGAUCAUCUUCUAUGAUUAAAUUGAUAAAAGAGCUCAUUCAUUGAUUCAAUCAACAUCUCUCAACAUCUACAAUACUAUCGUAAUGUUUGAUCUGAUAUUUCCCACAAUUUAAAGAUAUGUAAUGUUUAAUCUGCUGUUAUUUUUUUUUUAGAAUAAAUAUUAAUAUUUGAUUUUUUUUCUUUUUGUUUCAUUUGAUUUUAUUCGAACUAGCGGUCUGUAAUGUUUGAUUUGUUGUUAUUGAGGAAUAAGAUUGUUUGUUGGACUCUUUUGAGUCGUAUGAACUCUGAUAUUUUCCACAAUAUCAGAAAAAUAUAAUUGGUAUUCUUAUGAUGAAUUUUUAAAUAUAUCUUUGUAGUUCCAACUUAAGGUGAGUAAUGUUGAUUUUUUGCUCAAUAUAUGGGCUAUUCAAAUAUUGUUGGACAUAUUAUUUCUAGUUCGCUUUCUUUUCUUGGCAAAUAUAUGGUCCUUUCUCUGUAGUUGACACAAAACCAUGUGUAUUAUGGUCUCCAACUGUUGAAUAAUGAUCGAGGUAAAAAUGUUACUCGAUUUUUGGGAUAUUAAAAUAUUGUUGUGCAUAUUAUUUUUAGUUUGCUUUCAUUGAAUAAUGAUCGUGGUAAAAAUGUUGCUCAUUAUUUGUUAUUGAUUGUUGUCAAUUGUUACGACUUAUGUCAAUCUUGUUUCUCAUUGUUUGGAUGUGAAAUUAGAUGGCUACAUUAUUCCACUGACCAAAAAUAGUCUUAUUGCCUAAAACCCUUAUUUCAUUAUAAUUGAAAUAUUUGCAAUUGUUGGCAUUGAGUAUCCCUUAUAUAAUCAACUGCAGUUGUUCUAUAUAAUCAAGUGCCACUCAUUUUAGUCCUACUGAACUUCGUUUUAUCAUGAAAUCUAGGAAUAGACUACCUCUUGCUUUCUUUUUAUUUGGAUUAGAUUCUUCAUUACCAAAGUUGGUUAGAACAUUCAUGCCAUUAGGGUCCUUGUUAACCUUCAUGUUGAUUUUCUUAAUAGAUUUUUUGGCAAAUAUAAUUUCUUUAGGUGGCCGAGGUCUUUUGUUCUUCAAUGAGUUGCUUGUUACCUGAAUAAGAAAGAAAAACAAGAAAGUUGAAUUAAUCUCAAGCCUUUCUUGGGUCUGUUUUUCCUUUGCUAUCUGAUAAAAUAGUUUGUAUAUGUUCACUUAAAUGGCUGAGUCAAUCCAUGGAUGUGAUAUAGUGAGAAUAGGGCAUUUGAGCAUCUGAUCAUUUUAACUGAAUGGACCUCGACAACCAAUUCCCUCCAAGGAUUUGUAAAUGCAAACCAGGAUGUGGUCGGAUGCAUAUGUUUAUAGCAAAGACACAUGAUAACUACAAUAGACAUUUCUAUAAAUUCUCUAACUGGAAGGUAUGUAAUAUUCUUUCAUUAAGAUAAUGUAGAAGCAUAUUGGUUUUCCAUUGUAAGCAUAUUUCUAACACACGCUUAUCUUAUUGUGUUAACUACUAGAAUGAGAUUGCAUGAGGCUAUCUAGAGUGGUGUGAUGAAAUUCUAGGUGAAGAUAGGAAGCCUAUGGUUAAAAGGUUCGUGUCUUAGAGACCAAAUCCUUGUAUGGCUGAUGGAGUAGAUGCAUCUCUGUUUGAGAAAGACAAGAGCAAAUAUGAUGUUCUGGUUGCUGAGAAAGUAGACAUUAAAAAAAUUUGUCUCAUAUGUGUAAUUUUAUUUAUGACUUUGAUGUUUGCCCUCCUUUUUUUGUUAAAGGAAUGGGUAUAUGUUUUAUGGUAUCUAUAUACUUAUAAUUGUAUGCACUUAUUGAUCUUUAUCUUCUAUGGAA
RNAcentral lists this long non-coding RNA (2086 nucleotides) under Amborella trichopoda. RNAcentral describes it as "long non-coding RNA (ATRI_LNC004354)". The record is from RNAcentral. Lineage: Eukaryota; Viridiplantae; Streptophyta; Magnoliopsida; Amborellales; Amborellaceae.